CCUACGGGCGGCUGCAGUGAGGAAUCUUGCACAAUGGGGGCAACCCUGAUGCAGCGACGCCGCGUGAAUGAUGAAGGCUUUCGGGUUGUAAAGUUCAGUAAGCAGGGAAGAAUAAGCGCCGGGUAAUAUUCGGUGUGAUGACGGUACCUGCCUAAAGCCCCGGCUAACUACGUGCCAGCAGCCGCGGUAAUACGUAUGGGGCGAGCGUUGUUCGGAAUUAUUGGGCGUAAAGGGCGUCUAGGCGGGGGAUUAAGUUAGAUGUGAAAGCUAUGGGCUCAACCCAUAAAUUGCAUCUAAGACUGGUUCUCUUGAGUUCGGGAGAGGAGAGCGGAAUUCCAGGUGUAGCGGUGAAAUGCGUAGAUAUCUGGAAGAACACCAGUGGCGAAGGCGGCUCUCUGGCCUAGGACUGACGCUGAAGCGCGAAAGCGUGGGGAGCGAACAGGAUUAGAUACCCCAGUAGUC
This 462-nucleotide ribosomal RNA is filed under the name uncultured Leptospiraceae bacterium. RNAcentral describes it as "bacterial SSU rRNA". It matches the Rfam family "Bacterial small subunit ribosomal RNA", at positions 338 to 795 of the family's 1533-position model. The record is from RNAcentral. Lineage: Bacteria; Pseudomonadati; Spirochaetota; Leptospiria; Leptospirales; Leptospiraceae.